Molecule: ribosomal RNA, 502 nt
Filed under: uncultured bacterium
Lineage: Bacteria
Description: partial 16S ribosomal RNA
Rfam family: Bacterial small subunit ribosomal RNA
Source: RNAcentral
AUUGAACGCUGGCGGCAUGCCUUACACAUGCAAGUCGAACGGCAGCACGGGAGCUUGCUCCUGGUGGCGAGUGGCGAACGGGUGAGUAAUACAUCGGAACGUACCCAGGAGUGGGGGAUAACGGAGCGAAAGUUACGCUAAUACCGCAUAUUCUGUGAGCAGGAAAGCGGGGGAUCGCAAGACCUCGCGUUCUUGGAGCGGCCGAUGUCGGAUUAGCUAGUUGGUGAGGUAAAAGCUCACCAAGGCGACGAUCCGUAGCAGGUCUGAGAGGAUGAUCUGCCACACUGGGACUGAGACACGGCCCAGACUCCUACGGGAGGCAGCAGUGGGGAAUUUUGGACAAUGGGGGCAACCCUGAUCCAGCCAUGCCGCGUGAGUGAAGAAGGCCUUCGGGUUGUAAAGCUCUUUCGGCGGGGAAGAAAUGGCAACGGCUAAUAUCCGUUGUUGAUGACGGUACCCGCAUAAGAAGCACCGGCUAACUACGUGCCAGCCGCCGCGGUAA